AGCUAAUAGAUACCCAGGUAGUCCACGCCCUAAACGAUGUCUACUAGUUGUUGGUGGAGUAAAAUCCAUGAGUAAACGCAGCUAACGCGUGAAGUAGACCGCCUGGGGAGUACGGUCGCAAGAUUAAAACUCAAAGGAAUUGACGGGGGCCCGCACAAGCGGUGGAUUAUGUGGAUUAAUUCGAUGCAACGCGAAAAACCUUACCUGGCCUUGACAUGCCACUAACGAAGCAGAGAUGCAUUAGGUGCCCGUAAGGGAAAGUGGACACAGGUGCUGCAUGGCUGUCGUCAGCUCGUGUCGUGAGGUGUUGGGUUAAGUCCCGCAACGAGCGCAACCCUUGCCAUUAAUUGCCAUCAUUUAGUUGGGCACUUUAAUGGGACUGCCGGUGACAAACCGGAGGAAGGUGGGGAUGACGUCAAGUCCUCAUGGCCCUUAUGGCCAGGGCUUCACACGUAAUACAAUGGUCGGUACAGAGAGUUGCCAACCCGCGAGGGGAGCUAAUCUCAGAAAGCCGAUCGUAGUCCGGAUUGUUCUCUGC
This 538-nucleotide ribosomal RNA is filed under the name uncultured bacterium. RNAcentral's name for it is "bacterial SSU rRNA". It matches the Rfam family "Bacterial small subunit ribosomal RNA", at positions 767 to 1308 of the family's 1533-position model. The record is from RNAcentral.